UAAAUACAACUUUCAACAACGGAUCUCUUGGCUCUCGCAUCGAUGAAGAACGCAGCGAAAUGCGAUAAGUAAUGUGAAUUGCAGAAUUCAGUGAAUCAUCGAAUCUUUGAACGCACCUUGCGCUCCUUGGUAUUCCGAGGAGCAUGCCUGUUUGAGUGU
Molecule: ribosomal RNA, 159 nt
Filed under: Hyphoderma setigerum
Lineage: Eukaryota; Fungi; Basidiomycota; Agaricomycetes; Polyporales; Hyphodermataceae
Description: 5.8S ribosomal RNA
Rfam family: 5.8S ribosomal RNA
About the family: 5.8S ribosomal RNA (5.8S rRNA) is a component of the large subunit of the eukaryotic ribosome. It is transcribed by RNA polymerase I as part of the 45S precursor that also contains 18S and 28S rRNA.
Source: RNAcentral